Molecule: ribosomal RNA, 254 nt
Filed under: uncultured Stenotrophomonas sp.
Lineage: Bacteria; Pseudomonadati; Pseudomonadota; Gammaproteobacteria; Lysobacterales; Lysobacteraceae
Description: partial 16S ribosomal RNA
Rfam family: Bacterial small subunit ribosomal RNA
Source: RNAcentral
CGGACGGGUGAGGAAUACAUCGGAAUCUACUCUGUCGUGGGGGAUAACGUAGGGAAACUUACGCUAAUACCGCAUACGACCUACGGGUGAAAGCAGGGGAUCUUCGGACCUUGCGCGAUUGAAUGAGCCGAUGUCGGAUUAGCUAGUUGGCGGGGUAAAGGCCCACCAAGGCGACGAUCCGUAGCUGGUCUGAGAGGAUGAUCAGCCACACUGGAGCUGAGACACGGUCCAGACUCCUACGGGAGGCAGCAGUC